This 1016-nucleotide long non-coding RNA is filed under the name Numida meleagris (helmeted guineafowl). Its description in RNAcentral is "lncRNA (ENSNMEG00000000882.1)". The record is from RNAcentral. Lineage: Eukaryota; Metazoa; Chordata; Aves; Galliformes; Numididae.
CCUCGAGGCACUGUGUCCAACAGGCUCCUCUCUGUCCUUCCAGCACUGUGGAGACGGCACUGGAAGGCAAAACGGAGAGCAUCCUGAAUUCCUGCUUCAACAGUGUCUUCUUUUUGCCUCCGGAACUGGACAUACCAGAAGAGGAGCAAACGCUCUACACUGAGGUGUGUGCUGGGUGAGCCACCGGAGCCCCAGGUCCCUUUGGGCAGCUCCCUGGCUCCUUGUGCUGAGACCAUAGGAGACCGAGGCAGGGCAGGGAUCCAGCAUUGCUUUUCCACCCUCAUCUCUUCUCUGGGGAUAGGGUUAGCAUGAGGUGCCCCGUGAGGUGCCGCAGGUGCUCUUCUACGACUCUCUGUCCUCUUGCAGACCAUGAUUGCCAUGGAAGUGAUGCUACAAGCCUUGGUGCAGAACUGCCCCGACUCCAGAAUGAGGGAGGAGCUGCGCAGUAUCUUUCAGGUCUGGCAGUUGCAAAGAGCGGCGUCACUUGGAGGGCUGCGCACCCCGAGGGAUGCGAGCGUCCCUGCUGCAGCGGCACAGACCCUCCUUGCACGUGACAGUCCUGCAAAAGAUCCUGUGCCCUGCGGCUCUGUUCUUCCUUCCCAGUGGGGAAGAUCCCCGAGCUCCUGCUGGAGCGGCAGAAGCUGCCAGGGCAGGCACCAGCAGAUUCUCUCUUUGCAGGCUCUGCUCCACUUCUUCAACUCCCAGCACCUUCAUGUUCGUACGAGAGCCCUGUACGGGGUUCUACGGAUGAUCAGGCAUUUUAUGGAAAAAGACUGGUGCAGCACUGGAAACUGCAGAUUACUAUAUGAGUCUGUCAUCGAGAUCUACUUCCCAAUCCUGGGAGAGCUGCUGGGUCACCUCUUCCUUUUCAGUUGUGGCCAAGAUACCAGCAGACUCCCAGCUACAGACGCGCUUUAUCGCCUCCAUGCAUUUGUCAGAGAUGAAAGAAGUAAGCGAAGAUGGGUCGGGCAGCGUCUCUCUGCUCCACCGUCCGCUCGUUUCUCCUGUUCUUUUGC